UGGCGGACGGGUGAGUAACGCGUGAGAAUCUGGCUCCAGGUCGGGGAUAACAGUUGGAAACGACUGCUAAUACCGGAUGUGCCGAAAGGUGAAAGAUUUAUUGCCUGGAGAUGAGCUCGCGUCUGAUUAGCUAGUUGGUGGUGUAAGGGACCACCAAGGCGUCGAUCAGUAGCUGGUCUGAGAGGAUGAUCAGCCACACUGGGACUGAGACACGGCCCAGACUCCUACGGGAGGCAGCAGUGGGGAAUUUUCCGCAAUGGGCGAAAGCCUGACGGAGCAAUACCGCGUGAGGGAGGAAGGCUCUUGGGUCGUAAACCUCUUUUCUCAAGGAAGAAGAAAGUGACGGUACUUGAGGAAUAAGCAUCGGCUAACUCCGUGCCAGCAGCCGCGGUAAUACGGAGGAUGCAAGCGUUAUCCGGAAUGAUUGGGCGUAAAGGGUCUGCAGGUGGAACUGAAAGUCUGCUGUUAAAGAGUUUGGCUUAACCAAAUAAAAGCGGUGGAAACUACAGAACUAGAGUGCGGUAGGGGCAAAAGGAAUUCCUGGUGUAGCGGUGAAAUGCGUAGAUAUCAGGAAGAACACCGGUGGCGAAAGCGUUUUGCUAGACCGUAACUGACACUGAGGGACGAAAGCUAGGGGAGCGAAUGGGAUUAGAUACCCCAGUAGUCCUAGCCGUAAACGAUGGAUACUAGGCGUGGCUUGUAUCGACCCGAGCCGUGCCGGAGCUAACGCGUUAAGUAUCCCGCCUGGGGAGUACGCACGCAAGUGUGAAACUCAAAGGAAUUGACGGGGGCCCGCACAAGCGGUGGAGUAUGUGGUUUAAUUCGAUGCAACGCGAAGAACCUUACCAAGACUUGACAUCCUGCGAAUCCUGGUGAAAGCUAGGAGUGCCUUAGGGAGCGCAGAGACAGGUGGUGCAUGGCUGUCGUCAGCUCGUGUCGUGAGAUGUUGGGUUAAGUCCCGCAACGAGCGCAACCCUCGUUUUUAGUUGCCAGCAUUAAGUUGGGCACUCUAGAGAGACUGCCGGUGACAAACCGGAGGAAGGUGAGGAUGACGUCAAGUCAGCAUGCCCCUUACGUCUUGGGCUACACACGUACUACAAUGCUACGGACAGAGGGCAGCGAGCCAGGGAUGGCAAGCGAAUCCAGAAACCGUAGCUCAGUUCAGAUCGAAGGCUGCAACUCGCCUUCGUGAAGGAGGAAUCGCUAGUAAUUGCAGGUCAGCAUACUGCAGUGAAUUCGUUCCCGGGCCUUGUACACACCGCCCGUCACACCAUGGAAGUUGGUCACGCCCGAAGUCAUUACCCCAACCGAAAGGAGGGGGAUGCCUAAGGUAGGACUGGUGACUGGGGUGAAGUCGU
RNAcentral lists this ribosomal RNA (1358 nucleotides) under Cylindrospermopsis raciborskii XM3. Its description in RNAcentral is "bacterial SSU rRNA". It matches the Rfam family "Bacterial small subunit ribosomal RNA". Lineage: Bacteria; Bacillati; Cyanobacteriota; Cyanophyceae; Nostocales; Aphanizomenonaceae. The record is from RNAcentral.